This 298-nucleotide long non-coding RNA is filed under the name Phoenix dactylifera (date palm). RNAcentral describes it as "long non-coding RNA (PDAC_LNC005221)". The record is from RNAcentral. Lineage: Eukaryota; Viridiplantae; Streptophyta; Magnoliopsida; Arecales; Arecaceae.
UACCUCUAGAUGGAUCAAGCAUAAUAUGCUCAAAGCAUCAAUUUUCAAAAUAUAAGAUUUUCAAUUAUAACCAAAAUAUUUUGAUAAAUACAUGAUGUAAAAUAUGUUUAUGAUCAUAAAUUUUAAAAUAUGUAAUGCAAUUAAUUAAGAAAGAAUUUUCAAAUCAAUAUAGGUAAAUCAUCUGCUCCCUCUUUUAGCCUUUACUAUGGCUAUGAUCAGCUAGUGGAAAGCCUUGCAAGAGACGAACUCCUAACUACAAUAUGCGAUCAUUAGCAUAUGCUAAUGAUUUAGCAUCCCU